This 468-nucleotide ribosomal RNA is filed under the name uncultured bacterium. Its description in RNAcentral is "partial 16S ribosomal RNA". It matches the Rfam family "Bacterial small subunit ribosomal RNA", at positions 28 to 507 of the family's 1533-position model. The record is from RNAcentral.
GACGAACGCUGGCGGCGUGCUUAACACAUGCAAGUCGAACGGAAAGGCCCUGCUUUUGUGGGGUGCUCGAGUGGCGAACGGGUGAGUAACACGUGAGUAACCUGCCCUUGACUUUGGGAUAACUUCAGGAAACUGGGGCUAAUACCGGAUAGGAGCUCCUGCUGCAUGGUGGGGGUUGGAAAGUUUCGGCGGUUGGGGAUGGACUCGCGGCUUAUCAGCUUGUUGGUGGGGUAGUGGCUUACCAAGGCUUUGACGGGUAGCCGGCCUGAGAGGGUGACCGGCCACAUUGGGACUGAGAUACGGACCAGACUCCUACGGGAGGCAGCGGGGGGGAAUAUUGCACAAUGGGCGGAAGCCUGAUGCGGCAACGCCGCGUGCGGGAUGACGGCCGUCGGGUUGUAAACCGCUUUCGCCUGUGACGAAGCGUGAGUGACGGUAAUGGGUAAAGAAGCACCGGCUAACUACGUG